UUGGUCAGGCUGGUCUUGAACUCCUGACCUCAGGUGAUCUGCCCGCCUCGGCCUCCCACAGUGCUGGGAUUACAGGCGUGAGCCACCGCGUCCGGCCAGAUUCUGUGUAUUUAUUACAGCCCUUUACUUCACUGCGCCACUGCCUGGUAUAGACAUCACAUAUCGGAGCUAAGAAACGACACUGGCAACAAGGCUGAAUCCUUGAACCGUUGUCGCCUGUUGAGAAAGGAUUCCUUUUCCAGAACAGAAGUGCAGAGGAGAGAGGGAAGAGUUCAAAGCUGACACCCAGGCGUGUGCCUGUCUGAUAAACCGGAGCUGUGCUCCUGAGCCUUGGUGGGGGUGAGGCCGACCUCCCAGCUGCAAACACAAGGACACUGAGAUGCAAGGAAAGGAGAACCCACACUGAAGAAACUCAUGUUGCAGGGGCCUCUUCUCCCUCAGUUCCCGGCUCGGUGAUGGUGGAGGGUAAGAAGACGGAUCCUCCCGCUGCAACAUCAAACCAGGCCAAACGCGUAUUUUUCUCUUCCUUCCCUUUUCUUGUUUUGUAAUUGACAGCUCCUCAGGAGUACCAGUAGUGUCCUAGAAGGAAUAAAAUAAAGUUUCCCAAGGCUUUGUGACCCGGAGCCCUUCGCAGGUGUUCACGGAACACACAGGCCGCCCGGAGGCCUUGGCCCUCCAGGCAACCACCACCAGAAGCCCCCAGAAGCGGGACAGGCAGAAGGAGCCUCCCCGAGAUCUCCCAGGGGGAGCACAGCCCUGCCAAAGUAUUGGUUUCGGACAGAAGGAGCCUCCCCGAGAUCUCCCAGGGGGAGCACAGCCCUGCCAAAGUAUUGGUUUCGGACUUCUGGCUUCCAGAGCUACGGGAAAAUAAAUAUUUGUUAUUUAAGCCACCAGGUCUGUGGCGAUUUGUUAUGACAGCCUCAGGAAACUCCUGCAACAAGGAAGUGAGUUACGCUCACGGCAGAAAGUGCUACAGCAAACCAAGGCAGAACAAAACCAGACAAAGCCUGAUACAGACUGGACUAAGUAGAAGACUGCGUGUUCGGGUGGUGAAUAUACAAAAAACAUAAAUAUAAAUUAAACCUUAGAGAAGCUUUGUCAUGUU
Molecule: non-coding RNA, 1105 nt
Organism: Macaca mulatta (Rhesus monkey)
Lineage: Eukaryota; Metazoa; Chordata; Mammalia; Primates; Cercopithecidae
Source: RefSeq, a predicted model, not a curated record